CGAAUGUGACUGAUCGGCAGAGGAUGUUUACUCCUAUAUUGCACCUGAUCCCACCUCUAAUGUUUUUAUAGAACUUGCAAUAGAAGAAAAAGUUUAGGGAAAUUAAGAGGAAGAAAUUGAAGAUGAAAAGAAGAGCUCUGGGAGGAAAAAAUUCCAUUUGUUAAGAAUGUGUGGACAAAAGAAAAAUAGCCAUAGUAGAGUGCCAAUGUGGAGUGGA
Saccostrea echinata is the source of this 217-nucleotide long non-coding RNA. RefSeq lists it as uncharacterized. NCBI's taxonomy places the organism in Eukaryota, Metazoa, Mollusca, Bivalvia, Ostreida, Ostreidae. The transcript has 3 exons. The record is from RefSeq and is a predicted model, not a curated record.